GGAAACUAAACGCACGUCAGCAUGAAGCCACUCCUGCUCUUUGUUUUACUUUCACUUUCAGACUCAGAGCCGCACAUGAAGCGCGUUCAGACUUGUUACUGAAGAAAACAGCCCGUUUAAUCAUUUUUUCUCGUCCCCAUGAAGAGUAUGAUGGUAACGAUCAGCUAACGAAGCUCCUGUCUGAACAGGUCAGUUUCAUGUGGUCGGAUCACUUCAGUCUAUCGUGGCCGCUCCAGGUGAUGAUGCCAUCCUGCCGUGUCACGUGGAGCCAAAGUUUAAUGUGGCGGGGCUGACGGUGGAGUGGUCGAGGCCCGAUCGUCGUCCUGACCCCAACGACCGUCUGAGCCGAGUGGAAUAUGUUCAUCUUUACAGAGACGCCCGAGAGGUCCCCGACAUGAAGAUCCCAUCGUACAUCGGGAGGACGGCGUUGUUCACAGACGGCCUGAGAGAAGGAAACAUCUCACUAAGAAUCACUAAUGUGACACAAGAAGAUGAAGGAAGAUACAAAUGUUUCAUCCCAAAGUUAAAGAGUCAAACAAAGUCUUCAAUUGUUCGUCUCAUUGUUGCUGAAACUAUGACAACAGAGACACCGCUGCAUCCUGAAACUCUCCAAACUCCUGAGCCGAUGGACGAGUUUCACAGUAAAGGUGGUUUGUCCCGUCGGAGCCGACUGAUCCCACUUGUGGUUGUCUGUGUUUUUAUUCUGCUCUGUGUCGCAGUCGCAGGACGCUGGUUCACUGAGUCAAAGCAUCGAAAAACAGAAUUCGAGAAAGGACCUCCUAUCUAGGUGCCUUGCUCACUGAACCACCUCCCAGUUGGGAUUCAGGAGACAGAUACCCUCUCUACUUUUAAGAUUAGGCGUAAAACUUUCCCUGUUAACAAAACAUAAAGCUAGGGCUUGAGACCUAGCUUUAUGACCUAGCUAGGCCUUGACCACAAAGCUCUGCUGAGAGUGGUGAGAUCAGCACAUCACCAGGAGUGAACUGCCAGCCAUGCAGGAUCUCUAUAGACAGCGCUACGUGAAGAAGACGCAGCAGAUCCUCUCUGAUCCCAGCCACAGACUUUUAACACUACUGCCAUUCGGCAGGCAGUUCAGGAGCAUCCAGACCCGCACUACCAGACACAGAGACAGUUUUUCCCCACAAGCCAUCAGGCUUUUGGACUGCUGACACUCUAUACACAUCAUUACACACUCACUACAAUUACAGGACUCUACACACUGUCACUUCAACUAAUGCCACUUAAAUGUUCUUGCACAAGUUUUGCACAAUUGUACAAGAGCUAUUUUCUGUUAUUUUCUUCUUAAUUUAACCGCAUUCUGCAUGCUCAUGUAAAGCUGAGGAGCACGAGCCAAAGAAUUUCAUUAUGGGUAAAUGUGGCUACACUGUUUAUCUGUGGAUGACAAUAAGACUUGAAACUUGAGUUUAGCUGACCCUGAAUCCUGCCUUAUGGUGUCAUGGGGGUUAGUAUUGUUUCCUCACAGCAGGAAACUCCUGGGUUUGAAUUCAUCAUCUGGCAAGUCCUUUGUGAGGUUUGCAUGUUCUUCCCAUGUCUAUGUGGGUUUUCUCUGGGUACUCCAGCUUUCUCCCACAGUCCAAAGACAUGCAGUCAGUGGGUUUAGGUUAAAUGGUGACUUUAAGCUGCCCAUAGGCACGGAUGGUUGUCUUUCUCUGUGUUAACCCAUAAAUAUUCAGACUAAAACCUGAGGACCAAACUGGUUUAGAUAAUUAGAAGUCAGCCUGUUUAAGAACUGUACCACAUCUAGCAGUCUGCAUGUACUCUAAAGAGAGCUAAGGUUUCCAACGCCUUUUGCCUUGAAGCCAGUACAGCAGCUAGGAUGUAAACAUGUUUGGAUACUAGGUAUUUUUUCCAACCACAGCCUGGAGCUGGAGGUGUUUUUCCAUCUGUUUGUUUUGUAAUCAUGAAAGUUCAUAAUUGCCACUCACAGACACACUGAUUAUUGUCUCAAGUACAUUGUUUUGGUUUCAGUUUUAAGGAUUUGGAUGUCAUCAAAGUUAAAUUUCCUUUAGAAGGAAGAACUUGUUCAUUGUGUGAACUCUAAAGUCCUCUUCUCAUCCUUAGCAGCGAUGAUCUGUGGAGGAGUUCAGCUGUGUUGUUAUUAAUGUCAGAGACAUCACUGAGCGCAGUGGCAAACACAUCAGUCAUGGUGCUUUUUGUUUUGAGGUCAGGAUUAUUUUACAGUGGGGAUUUUAGAAUAUUUCAUUUAAGGACAGUGCAGCAGAGGCUGCUUUUUGCUAUAAUGUAUGUCUGUACCAAAGUAUAAAGAUAUUACAAAAACACAUUUAUCAGGAUUUAUAUGAGCCUUGAUUUAACAUGAAAGCUCACAAACAGCCGAGCUCUCACUUUUCAUGAAAUUUAAAUCUACAGCUCAACUGUUACUGAUAUUUUUGUUUAAAGAUGAGAUUUGAUUUCCAUUGUUCUUUAUUGUCUAUUGUCUGACAUUUACAUCAGCAGGUGCAGGAGCAGUCCAACCUGCAUCAUGAUUAACCCCACACACCCAACCCAGAAACUGUUUGACCUCCCCCCUGAGGCAGGAGGAUGCACAGCUUCUUCUCAGAGGCUGAAGUAAGAGUGGUCACCUCCAAACCUCACUGACUGCACUUGUGCCAUUCUGCCCUGCUGUGCUGCUGCUCUGGUUUUUAAAAUGGCACUGAGUCUUUUGUCUAUUUAUUAUAAAAUAUGUAUUCAUUAUUUUUUAUGUCUUAUUAUUUUUCUUAUUAUUAUUUUUAUUUUUAAUCUCAUAAAAGCUGCUUUCUCCUGCACACAGUGGUUGCUCACCUGCAAGUCCCUUUGCAACCCACCUCUGCCCUUACUCCUCCACAUAUGCAGUAGCUGACUUAACCCUCUUGGGUCAACAGAUCCGCUGGCGUGCCAAAAAAAUCACUUGACCAAUUUAAGAUGACACAGCAACAAGAUGCAGCCACCCAGAGUCUCCAUUUCUACUUGUGUUGAAAGUGCGGACUUCAAGCUAAAAUGUUUUUUGCAAAACUUGUGCAUAGGUUUUUACAUUUCAAGUUAUGAAAAUUAUUUGUUAAACAUGUUUGUGAUUGUUACAAUAAAAAAUAAAGUAC
Oreochromis niloticus (Nile tilapia) is the source of this 3092-nucleotide RNA transcript. It is a transcript of the gene named myelin-oligodendrocyte glycoprotein, with no coding region annotated. Lineage: Eukaryota; Metazoa; Chordata; Actinopteri; Cichliformes; Cichlidae. The record is from RefSeq and is a predicted model, not a curated record. The transcript is spliced from 5 exons.